CCUACGGGUGGCAGCAGUGGGGGAUAUUGCACAAUGGGGGAAACCCUGAUGCAGCGACGCCGCGUGGGUGAAGAAGUAUUUCGGUAUGUAAAGCCCUAUCAGCAGGGAAGAAAGAAGACGGUACCUGACUAAGAAGCCCCGGCUAACUACGUGCCAGCAGCCGCGGUAAUACGUAGGGGGCGAGCGUUAUCCGGAUUCACGGGGUGUAAAGGGAGCGUAGACGGCCGUGCAAGCCAGGAGUGAAAGCCCGGGGCCCAACCCCGGGACUGCUCUUGGAACUGUGCGGCUGGAGUGCGGGAGGGGCAGGCGGAAUUCCUGGUGUAGCGGUGAAAUGCGUAGAUAUCAGGAGGAACACCGGCGGCGAAGGCGGCCUGCUGGACCGCGACUGACGUUGAGGCUCGAAAGCGUGGGGAGCGAACAGGAUUAGAUACCCCUGUAGUC
This 441-nucleotide ribosomal RNA is filed under the name uncultured bacterium. RNAcentral's name for it is "partial 16S ribosomal RNA". It matches the Rfam family "Bacterial small subunit ribosomal RNA", at positions 338 to 795 of the family's 1533-position model. The record is from RNAcentral.